UCACCAAACCCUAAUCGGUUUCCUAUCUUUCGCUCUCGAGUCUAUAUAUAGAAAGCGGAGGAUAUCGAUUUCAUCAGUUUGCAGCUACUGCAGCUCGUAGGUUUCGCAUCGAUUCGGUUAUCAGAUUUUAAUCUCAGUCUUGUUUGUUGAUUCUCAUGCAAAUGAACUGCAAUCAACAAAUGCUGCUCUGUGUAUGCUUAUUCCUCUUAUUUGAGAACACUUCAUUACCUGCAUUUCUUGGCAGCAAUAACCAAGGGCACCUAUUCCUGAUGUGAAAGAGUAUCCAGCUCUUCGACCCGACUAAUCUUGGAGAUGACCGGUCUGGUCCCGUGGAAGUUUUCUAUUAGCCAUCAGAAUAAAUCGGGAAGUGCUCGUAGAUGUCCAUCAAAGUGGUCAAUGUUCUUAGAGUUGUUAUCCUACUAGAGGAAAAUCCUUACAGUACGCCGUAGCUAGGAUUUGACCCUUGGAUGCUUGAUUAACCGUUUAAAAGAUCUAACCGUUGUAUCAUUGCCUGGGGAAAGCAUAUGAGAUAGCAUCAGAGUAAAUUGCUUUGAGUUGUUUCAGUAUAACUGAGAAUGAAUUUCCAAGUGUCGUUUGGCAUGUCUUGCUCCCCUUCUCAUCCUAUGGUCUCAUCUAUCCUCCAAAAGUUAUCAGUGAAUUUGAUCUACUCGUAGAGUCCUGGUUGCAAAUCUUAUCCACCCUAAGCCAUUGAAAGCCAGUUUGUUUAUUAGAAACAACCUGAACUGGAGGAUAGACACUUUAAAUACUGUUGGAAGAUAUGGUUUUGAUAUCUUCUCCUUUGCAUGUACCUUAGCCUAGUUAGACUGAUGGAAUUAGAGAGAUAACUAAGUAAAUGAUGAAGAAUGCUUUAAUCUAACUUGCAGCAUUAGGAAAUUUGAUUCAACUCUUUGCUCUUUCAGACACUGAUAUAUUUCUGGUCCAUACUCUUGACUACAAUUCAUGAACUCAUUGCAUUGUUGUCAUUGCAUUGUUGUCACUGUAUUGAUGAAAUGAAUAGAACGAAUAAGUAGAUAGUUGAAUCUUCUGUGAUCGUUGAGUGUUUCUUAGAUUAAAAGAUAAAUUUUAUAUGACUAUGGUAUGACUUGUCAUGCUCUAUGGAUUAGAUUAUUAACUAUUAGAACAUGACAUAUACAAAAAUUCAUACAGUAAAGUGGUGAAUGUUAAGAUUGAUGUGUUAAGUUAUUAGAAAGGACAAGAUUGAUGUGUAAAAGUUAUUCGAAAGGACACGAUGAGAAAAAUAUUAAUAUCCAAGAACAAUCAAGUGAAGUUUCAAUAAGUGAUAAAGUGAAAGUAGAUUUAAAUGAUAUGUAGAUGUUUAAAGUGUUUUUAUUGCAAAUGCCUCUAAUAUCAUAAGAAGGGAUUGAAUGCCACUUUAGUACCACUUGGUAGCCCAGUGAUGAUUUUUUCCUUAGGUGCAUAAGCGGCUGGAUUAAUGUCAACAAUGUGGUCAAUGAAAACUUAGUAGGAGAACACCCGCCGUCAUCUUGAAAGCAUUGAGAUAACUGCUCCCGCAAAUUGUAUAUCUAUUAGGCGAUAUUUGUAUGACUACGUUGUUCAGCUUCUGAUUUCAUUAGGAACUAGAUGGUGCCUUUAUCCCCUAAAUUCAAUGCAGAUGGAUAUCAAACAAUCAGCUUCUUAUAAUGCCACUCAGAGCUUCCUUGUCAAGCCACUUGGCGAAAGAUCAAUGCAAAGUUAUUCACCUAAAGACAUUUGAUUGAUUAAUUUGUAACAUGAAGAAGGUUGAGCAAAUGUGCCUUGGUAUUCUCCAUGAAUUAAAAAAACGUUUCUUAUAUGGAAGUAUCUCUGAGUGAAUUGAUCAUUUUACAUCGGAGAGCUAAAGAGAAGAAGCUUCAGGGAUAGUUAUUAGCACUAACAAUUGGUCUUAUUUUAUUACCUGACAAGACAUUUCUGUUGAUUCCAGAUGUAUAUUGUCUUAACUUUGCUGCUGAAAAUUUUAGUAGCUUUCUGGCUUGCCUCGUAAGUUUUGUAAAGCAGAACCUUUCUGGCUCGGCUUGUAUCUAUUCACAUUUUCCUACAAUUUAUUUGUUUAUGUAAGUUCAUCAAUAUGAAAAAAAAAAUGCAUUUCAUUCCUCUGUUUAUUUCAGAUUUUCUGAUAGAGUCUUAUGAGUUGUUGCUUCUGGGCAUAAGCUCUGCGCUUUUUUAGCUGUUGCAGCGGCAACGAUAGCUUCCAAGAACUGGGAAGCAUUUGUUUCCUGUUAUUGAGGCUUGAGGCAUGAUGGCUAACCACUGCUAACUACUAAUUUCGUGUGCGCUCGUCUUCGAUGAUUAAACCAGAAGACUUCAUCUAAAAUUUAUGCUUACUUUUCUCAAAUCAAUCCAGGGGUCUGAAGUCUGAAGCUUUCUACAAAUAUAAGAGUCACGAAGCAUCCAUAUCUUGGGAUAAGAAUCUCACAAGGGAUCAUGGAAACUAAUUGGAGGACUGAUGUAAGCCCAAUCAUUCCUCCAUUCACAUCCACAACCAUCUUCCCCACUUUCGUAUCUCAUAUUCAAAUGCCCUCACUGUCACUGCAAAUGAUCAUUAACAUACUCCAAAGUGGUGGUUAUUGCCACUCACAUCACUUUGUGCUGCUCUUUGUAGUCUUUCUUUCUCCCAACAAAGAUAUACUGUCACAGUCAGCUUGAUCCAUGGCAUCUGAAACGUGACCUGCCAUCCCUAGACUAGUAUAUAUGCUGAUCCACCAUUGGUGGCCAUUGGAACACCUGAGGCUGCGGAUUUAAUACUGCAAAUGGCAUUGAAUUGGAGGAAAAGUACUCCUAGAAAUGAUGGGCAGCGUGCUAGAUGGGAGGUGGUGGAUACAAACAACUUGCCUUUUUUUUAAAUACAUGGUUCAUUAGGUGAUAAGGGGAAUCUUCUUGAGUUGCAUCAAUCCUUAAUCAUCCUUUAGGAGGAUUGAUAACUUUUAGGCCUUUUUUGUCCUUUCAAUUAGUGAGUUUAUUUUUAGAGAGAUGACUAAUAGCAAAUAUAUAGUAAUGAAGCUUCAAGACAUUUAUCUUGUACAACUUUGUAAAUUUUAUACAUCGAGGAGAAGAUUCUUGUGUGCCA
Zingiber officinale is the source of this 3085-nucleotide long non-coding RNA. RefSeq lists it as uncharacterized. The record is from RefSeq and is a predicted model, not a curated record. NCBI's taxonomy places the organism in Eukaryota, Viridiplantae, Streptophyta, Magnoliopsida, Zingiberales, Zingiberaceae. The transcript is spliced from 4 exons.